This 461-nucleotide ribosomal RNA is filed under the name Adelophryne sp. 4 AF-2012. Its description in RNAcentral is "partial 12S ribosomal RNA". The record is from RNAcentral. Lineage: Eukaryota; Metazoa; Chordata; Amphibia; Anura; Eleutherodactylidae.
GACUUAGUCCCAACCUUGAAGUCAAUUAUCACUCGACUUAUACAUGCAAGUCUCCGCACCCCUGUGAAAACGCCCUCAACCCCCUCCUGGGGCCGAGGAGCAGAUAUCAGGCUCAACUCUUGCCUAAGACAUCUAGCCCCGCCACACCCACAAGGGCCCUUGCAGCAGUGAUUAAUCUUGAAUAUAAGCGACAGCUUGAUUCAGUUAGAGUGAAAUUGGAGCCGGCAAAGUUAGUGCCAGUCGCCUCGGAUAAACUACAUCAGCCCAAAUUGACUUAUCUCGGCGUAAAGCGUGAUCAAAUACACCAACACACUAGAGUUAAACACGACAAUUGUCUAACAGGAAACCCAACAACGAAAGUCACUCUACCCCCACCCUUUGACUUCACGACAACUAGGACCCAAACUGGGAACCAACCCCACUAUGCCUAGUCGUAAACUUUUACUUACACCACAACCGCC